UGGACGCUGGCGGCGUGCCUAAUACAUGCAAGUCGAGCGAACAGACGAGGAGCUUGCUCCUCUGACGUUAGCGGCGGACGGGUGGGUAACACGUGGAUAACCUACCUAUAAGACUGGGAUAACUUCGGGAAACCGGAGCUAAUACCGGAUAAUAUAUUGAACCGCAUGGUUCAAUAGUGAAAGACGGUUUUGCUGUCACUUAUAGAUGGAUCCGCGCCGCAUUAGCUAGUUGGUAAGGUAACGGCUUACCAAGGCGACGAUGCGUAGCCGACCUGAGAGGGUGAUCGGCCACACUGGAACUGAGACACGGUCCAGACUCCUACGGGAGGCAGCAGUAGGGAAUCUUCCGCAAUGGGCGAAAGCCUGACGGAGCAACGCCGCGUGAGUGAUGAAGGUCUUCGGAUCGUAAAACUCUGUUAUUAGGGAAGAACAAAUGUGUAAGUAACUAUGCACGUCUUGACGGUACCUAAUCAGAAAGCCACGGCUAACUACGUG
RNAcentral lists this ribosomal RNA (495 nucleotides) under uncultured bacterium. Its description in RNAcentral is "partial 16S ribosomal RNA". It matches the Rfam family "Bacterial small subunit ribosomal RNA", at positions 30 to 507 of the family's 1533-position model. The record is from RNAcentral.